UACGGAGGGUGCGAGCGUUGUCCGGAAUCACUGGGCGUAAAGGGCGCGUAGGUGGCCCGAUGAGUCAACGGUGAAAGCUCGGCGCUUAACGCCGAGUCGGCCGUCGAUACUGUCGGGCUCGAGCACUGUAGAGGCUCAUGGAAUUCCGGGUGUAGCGGUGGAAUGCGUAGAGAUCCGGAAGAACACCGGUGGCGAAGGCGGUGAGCUGGGCAGUUGCUGACACUGAGGCGCGACAGCGUGGGGAGCAAACGGG
This 253-nucleotide ribosomal RNA is filed under the name uncultured prokaryote. RNAcentral describes it as "partial 16S ribosomal RNA". It matches the Rfam family "Bacterial small subunit ribosomal RNA", at positions 524 to 776 of the family's 1533-position model. The record is from RNAcentral.